Molecule: ribosomal RNA, 468 nt
Filed under: uncultured bacterium
Lineage: Bacteria
Description: partial 16S ribosomal RNA
Rfam family: Bacterial small subunit ribosomal RNA
Source: RNAcentral
GACGAACGCUGGCGGCGUGCUUAACACAUGCAAGUCGAACGGAAAGGCCCUGCUUUUGUGGGGUGCUCGAGUGGCGCACGGGUGAGUACCACGUGAGUAACCUGCCCUUGACUUUGGGAUAACUUCAGGAAACUGGGGCUAAUACCGGAUAGGAGCUCCUGCUGCAUGGUGGGGGUUGGAAAGUUUCGGCGGGUGGGGAUGGACUCGCGGCUUAUCAGCUUGUUGGUGGGGUAGUGGCUUACCAAGGCUUUGACGGGUAGCCGGCCUGGGAGGGUGACCGGCCAAAUUGGGACUGCGGUACGGCCCAGAAUCCUACGGGAGGCAGGAGUGGGGAAUAUUGCACAAUGGGCGGAAGCCUGAUGCAGCAAAGCCGCGUGCGGGAUGACGGCCUUCGGGUUGUAAACCGCUUUCGCCUGUGACGAAGCGUGAGUGACGGUAAUGGGUAAAGAAGCACCGGCUAACUACGUG